GCCAAAACAAACUAUUCAACAGAUAUUCCUCCUAACAGAGAUUCAGCUGGCUAGGCCACAAGAAGAACCUCCUAGUUGAGUGAUUCUCAGAACUCGAAUCUACCACGAGAAGAGCCUUUGCCUCUUACAAACAACCAAAAUGUGAGAACUGAAUAAAGCACCCGGCACUAUGACAUGCUCAAGAAAUGUUUGACGUGAUGUCUGGACCUAUCGGCUUAGCGGAACUCUCAAGUUCCUGAACGUGCCCAAGCUGAAAGCUUCUCUAAACCACUGGAUUUUAAAGAUCUUCAGCGCUAGGACUGUAGCACUUGUAAUCAACUCUCUCAUAGCAGUUCGUUCAUAUUCCACUAAAAACAGUUGUUUUUUAGCUGUUCCACAUCCUUACAGCAAAGCUGUCAGUCAACAUCUUUUCCUGAAGGGAAUAUGCCAUACACUUGGUGGCACCUCACUUUGUCUCCACACACUAGUCAUCCAUCUAAAGACACUAGCAUGGAGUUACCAAGUUCUGCUUAUGACCAUGGUGGCCCAGAUGCUGCUGGAGUUAUCCGCAGAAAUGGCAAGGAUCACAACAAAAUAUAUCUGAUUCAGAAAGGAAACUGGCACUUAUCUGAGGAUCAUUGAGGACCAGAACAACACUGAUUACAGAAAACAGAGAAAUACCUUAUUGGAGUCUGGUUAUUGGGAUCCACCCUGAGAUGUGAGAGUCGAACAUGCUGUGUCUGUUUUGAAGAAAUCCAGUUGUUGAUUCAGCUAGAGAUACUUCCCAGUCAGGUGGUUAUGAAUCCACAGACACAUCUGGCCACAUGGUAACAUGAGCAGAUGUGUGGUCAGUCCAAGCCUAGAUUCCUGUGCUAUUAGAUUCCUAUCUGGUCUUUGGCCUUUUCUUUAAGGUCUGUGAGAGUCCUCCAGAGUUUUAUAUGUGAAAUGCUGCUUGUUUAUAUGAACACAGGAAGACUUAGCCAUCCUCUCUCUACACUGGGAAGACUGCAUUUAUCAUGGUUUUCACAUGACACUUUGGGCAUACUUGCAGGUGAAGUAUAAGUAUAAAGUCAUUUUUAAAGCCUAGGUUAAUAUGACUCAUUACAAUUCUAGAUCCAAUUUUGGCCCAGCAGAGAGGAAACUUUUACCAACCGAUGGCCGCCCGAUGACCUGAAUGGAAAGAAUUGGUGGCCCCGGGAGAGCACACAAUUGAGAGAAGUGAUCACAUCACCAGAUGUGACGUCACAGUUUGGCACCAGCUGCCAUCCUGGGCACAGAGAAUGCACAGUCCACUCAAGUCUGAGCUUCCUCUCUGGAUUCCCCUGGGGUUCAGUACAGAGCACUGUACAGUGGUGUAACCUCUAUACUGGACUGAUGGAAAAACUAAGCUUGAAAUCUGUCAUGGAAUUACAGCAAGAACAAAAAGUGAAAUACGUUAUCUGAACUGUAUAAAAAGGGAGGUAUGUGAAAGUACCAGGAAGACUCAGAAUCUGAAGUGGUGAGAAUAUUGAAGGAAAGGUUCAAAUCUGAGCUGAUCUUACAGUCAAGGCAGACACCAUCAGUGGGAUGGUAGAGCAUACCUCGGACACCUCUCAAAGAGCAUGGCAGGAGUGGGGUGACUCACCACUCCCUACCCCAAUCAGGCUUGGGCCUACUCAACUUCAUAAAGACAAAGGACAUGUCAAGAUAAAGCCAGUUAGGCUUGUGUUUCCUGGCCAGAGAACUGGCUUCUCAGAAAUCAGGUAACUGGCAGUUUGUUAAUCUAGCUGUUACUCUUGGAAGGCCCUGCCCCCACUGCAGCACUCCCUACCUUAUCCAUUUGUCCUCUCCUCCCCCUGACUCUAGCUACAUAAGUAAGCCCCACUAUUUCAAUAAACAAACUGUCCUCUGAAACAGUCUCCCAGGUAGUUCAUAUCUGCUGCAUUCACCACCACCUGAGACCCUGCUUCCCAGCUCCUCCAAGUCCUGAGACCAUCACUCUCCAAAGACCAUUGAGGGCAGAGGACACACAACCACCAGCAUAUGGGCAUGCUGAGAGUAAAGAAAGCCCCUCCCCCUCAGAUAAAGAAACAGCAUUUGCAGAAUCAAAAGACCCAAGGGCUUGGGCUAUACAAGAAUUGUGGAACUCAUGUCAAAGGCCAAAUGUCAAAAGUCAAAAACAGACUGUGAGGAUGUCUUUGACUAUUGAACACAAGUCAUGCUGCAGACAGGGAACUCACAGCAGACCAUGUGGGAAUGAAGGUGUUGUAGUUUAUCAAGAGACCCUCACUCACAAAGACUACAGAGACAACCAUCAUUGCAAAACACAUGAGGAUUUUUAUUAUUCCAACAUGUUGGGGAACCUCCUCUCAGCACGCAGUCCAGAGGAGAGACCCAGAACAAAGAAAGAACACAUUUUUUAUACCUUUGUAAUGGCAGAUUUAGGCAACAGGGUAGUUGGCUUAUUUUAAUUGGUGUAGCCAAUAACCUUUUCAGGCAUUGGUUGAUUUGACCCAGAAUUCAGUGUGAGGUGAGGUAAGAGAAUUGUUAAUGUUGUUCUGGCAGCUGCAAGCUUAGUCAUUUUGACAGUUAAAACUAUGUUUCUAUAUUUGUUUAGUCAGCCAGCUUCUUUAUCUGGCUCUGCACUUGGCCUGCUAGUAGUGUUUGUAAAAUCUUUUAGAAGGGAGAAGGUAGUGGGUGGUCUUGAAUUCAUUUUGGAUAUUACAAAGGGUCCACUCCACAAUGCUGUACACAAAAGGCUCAACCUGUCUGUCCAGGGCUGUGUGGAUGGAUAGACUAGGUAAGGAAGAGCCCAAAAGCAGUGUGAUGGUUUGAAUCAGAAUGGUCUGAAUGACUCAUAUAUUUAAAUGCCUGGCAUCCUAUUGGUGGAACUGUUUGGGAAGGAUUAGGAGGUGUGGCCUUGCUGAAGGGGAUGAGUCAGUGUGGGCCAAGCUUUAAGAAUUCAAAAGCCCAUGCCAUUCCCAGCCAGGAAGCUUUCACUCUGCUUUGCACUUGUGUGUUAAGACAUAAGUUCUCAGCUACCACUCCAGUACCAUGCCUGCUUGCCGGCCUCCCUGCCUGCCUGCCUGCCUGCUGCCAACCUUUCACCAUCAUGGCCAUGGACUUUAGCACUCUGGAACUGUAACUUCCCAACAGGAAUUUUCUUCUCUACAUUGCUUUGAUAAUGGUGCCUUAUCACAUCAAGGAUAGUAACUAGGCAGGCUGUUCAAGUUUGCUUUCAAUUGCUGUGAUAAACACCUGGCUCAAAAGCAACCUGGCAAGAAAAAUGUUUGUUUUACUUAGAAUUCUCAGGUCCAUUAUCAAGAAAAGUCUGGGCAGGAUUCUAGAGGCAGAAACUGAAAUAGAGGCUGUGGGGGAGUGCUGCCUACUGGCUUGCUCCCCAUUGCUUGCUCAGCCUGCUCUCUAAUACCACCUAGGACCACUAGCCCAGGGUUGGUACCUCCCACAGUUAGUGAGGCACUUCCAUGUAAAUCACUGAUCAAGAAAAUGCCCCCACAGACUUUACUACAGGACAAUGUUGGGGGGGGGGCAUUUUCUCUACUCAGGUCCAUCUUCUCAGAUGAUCUGAGUAUG
This is a long non-coding RNA of Mus musculus (house mouse), 3552 nucleotides long. RefSeq annotates it as predicted gene 6288. The transcript has 5 exons. The record is from RefSeq and is a predicted model, not a curated record. NCBI's taxonomy places the organism in Eukaryota, Metazoa, Chordata, Mammalia, Rodentia, Muridae.